UCCGUAGGCGGUGUGGCAAGUCGGUAGUGAAAUCUCUCGGCUUAACUGAGAGGCUGCUGCCGAAACUGCCAUGCUCGAGUGCGAGAGAGGCGAGUGGAAUUGCGGGUGUAGCGGUGAAAUGCGUAGAUAUCCGCAGGAACAUCCGAGGCGAAAGCGGCUCGCUGGAUCGCAACUGACGCUGAGGGACGAAAGCUAGGGGAGCAAACAGGAUUAGAUACCCUGGUAGUCCUAGCCCUAAACCAUCAGGACUUGGGGUUUGCCCUGUACGGGGCAAGUCCCGGAGCUAACGCGUUAAGUCCUGCGCCUGGGGAGUACGGUCGCAAGGCUGGA
RNAcentral lists this ribosomal RNA (330 nucleotides) under uncultured bacterium. RNAcentral's name for it is "bacterial SSU rRNA". It matches the Rfam family "Bacterial small subunit ribosomal RNA", at positions 568 to 898 of the family's 1533-position model. The record is from RNAcentral.